RNAcentral lists this ribosomal RNA (550 nucleotides) under uncultured bacterium. RNAcentral's name for it is "bacterial SSU rRNA". It matches the Rfam family "Bacterial small subunit ribosomal RNA", at positions 353 to 896 of the family's 1533-position model. The record is from RNAcentral.
AGUGGGGAAUUUUGGACAAUGGGGGCAACCCUGAUCCAGCAAUGCCGCGUGUGUGAAGAAGGCCUUCGGGUUGUAAAGCACUUUUGUCCGGAAAGAAAACGCCGUGGUUAAUACCCGUGGCGGAUGACGGUACCGGAAGAAUAAGCACCGGCUAACUACGUGCCAGCAGCCGCGGUAAUACGUAGGGUGCAAGCGUUAAUCGGAAUUACUGGGCGUAAAGCGUGCGCAGGCGGUCCGCUAAGACAGAUGUGAAAUCCCCGGGCUUAACCUGGGAACUGCAUUUGUGACUGGCGGGCUAGAGUAUGGCAGAGGGGGGUAGAAUUCCACGUGUAGCAGUGAAAUGCGUAGAGAUGUGGAGGAAUACCGAUGGCGAAGGCAGCCCCCUGGGCCAAUACUGACGCUCAUGCACGAAAGCGUGGGGAGCAAACAGGAUUAGAUACCCUGGUAGUCCACGCCCUAAACGAUGUCAACUAGUUGUCGGGUCUUCUUUGACUUGGUAACGUAGCUAACGCGUGAAGUUGACCGCCUGGGGAGUACGGUCGCAAGAUUA